Molecule: long non-coding RNA, 1636 nt
Organism: Lycium barbarum (goji berry)
Lineage: Eukaryota; Viridiplantae; Streptophyta; Magnoliopsida; Solanales; Solanaceae
Exons: 4
Source: RefSeq, a predicted model, not a curated record
CUAAUAGACCUAACCAUCAUUAAUUUUUAAUGAAAGAAAAAGGGACAAGAAACCCCCAUUUUCUUUGUGUUUCUAUUGAGAAAUUUAGAUUUUAGACGUGUCUCUAAAGUUCACGACUAAUAGCUCUUCAAGUUACAAUCAAUUAAUCAUCAUAAACUGGUAUCAUCAUUAACAAGCACAUUUUUCCUUCAUUCAAUCUUCACUCUUCAGUAGUAGAUUGCACGUAUGAUCAUCACCAAAAAUUGCAAAUUAGACAAUAAGGUAAGCAGAGAAAACACCAGAUUCAGACACAAAUUAACCAUAAGAGUUUCACCAAUUACAUAUACUAUAUAUAUACAUAGACUGUAGAGAAUAAGACAUACUAUGACAAUGUCAGAGGAGAAUUAGUUUUCCUACUGAAGAAUUCAGUAACAACCAUUGAUGUUAAUCAACAAGAAAUCAAGGUUUAGAGAAAGAGAAGGAAGAAGAAUUUGAUACAGUUUUAGAGAGAAGAUUGUUUCAUUCAAUGUGUAGAAUGUAAUUUGCUUGAUUCAUUUGUACAAUAUACAAGUGUAUAUAUACACAUAUACACAGCUGAAUCUAUGCUAGAAGUAAUGAAGAUAUUCAGAAGUCCUAGCUUGGAGCAUAAAUAUUGAUGUUGAGCUUUACUCAAACCUUUUCGUUUGCAUCUAUUUGGAUGGCAGAUUUGAUGUCGGUAUAAAUUGCAACUGGUAGAGUUAUUUUAAUUCCAAUUUCCUUCAAUAAGCCAAGGAUCCAGAUGGUUGUGGAAUAGAUGGUUGCGAUACAGCCUUAGCAUUUGGUCCAGUUGAAGUCUGAUUCAGAAGUUGCGCAAUUUGCUCAUAUUGUCCUUGAGAGAAUUUUGGUGCUUCGAGUUGGUGUUGAUUCAUACUAGUACUCAUAUCAACCUGAGGAUGUGCAUAUGCCCCGAGUAACCAGUAUUCUCGCUUACUGCAUCAUUGCUAGUCAUAUUGCCUUCAGAAUAGACACUGUAUGUUGCAUGUUCCUUCCCCUUCGAUUUGAAUCCUGGAGGGUAUCCAACAACUUUGUAGCAGAAUUCUUUAGUAUGUCCCUUUAACUUACACACUUUACACACCAAGUUAUAGUUCUUCUUGAACUCGGAUGGUCCUGCCUUAGAAUACAUUACUGUAGGAUCAAAAUUAGAAACAUUACUCCCAUUAGGUACAACACCUAACAACCCUGCAGAACUUGGAACUGAUUUUUGACUUUCAUCACUUAUAAUCAUGUAAUAAGCCUUGUUUACAAAAAGCAAUGGGGUCAUCAGCAGUAUUUGGCUUCUUGCCUGUUUGUAGUUUUCAUUGAGUCCCAUCAAGAACUGGUACAGUUUCUGUCUUUGCAAGUAUAAUACAAAGUCUUUGGACCUUUCACAAUUGCAACCAGGUGGAGGAACUAAUGAUUGAAAUUCAACCCAUAGAUUCUUGAGUCUAGUAUAGUAUUCAGUCACAGUAACAGUUCCUUGACACAAGGUGGCUAUUUCUCUAUGUAAAUUGUAAGUUCUUGAACCAUCUACUUUGUCAAAUAUUUCUUUUAUGAAGAAUUUAGUAACAAUCAUGUUAAUCAACAAGAAAUUAAGGUUUAGAGAAAGAGAAGGACGAAGAAGGUGAUACAGUUUUAGAUA